This is an RNA transcript of Sinocyclocheilus rhinocerous, 1264 nucleotides long. It is a transcript of the gene named CD226 antigen-like, with no coding region annotated. The transcript is spliced from 3 exons. The record is from RefSeq and is a predicted model, not a curated record. Lineage: Eukaryota; Metazoa; Chordata; Actinopteri; Cypriniformes; Cyprinidae.
UGCUGAACCCGCAGCAGAGCUGGAGCAGAGUGAUUAUUGAAUGCAUGGAGUGUGGAGGGGAAAUUGUUGCCACUCCACUCUGCUCACAUACUCUGGUACAUACGUCUUCUCUUCUGGACCUCCCAGCGGAGCAGGUUUGGAGAGAGUUGCUUGGCGAAUGUCCUCGUCGAUCGACCAUCGGAUGGGGCUGACGACGACAAGGGCUGGAUGGAGGAUAGUUUCAGGUAAAACCUGUCAGUCGACUGAUGGGUAGAGAUGUGAUAGCUCGGCAUCAGCUCGGGUGUUUUUGGUCCCAGGUCGGUAUGUCACCGUAGUGAAAACGAGUGAAGAACAGUGCCCACCAGGCUUGUCUGGGGUUCAACCAUUUGGCAUCUCGCAGAUAUUCCAGGUUACAAUGGUCAGUUAUUACUUUGAAAGAUGAACUGCUACCUCCAGCCAAUGCCUCCACUCUUCCAGGGCAAGUUUAAUGGUGAGCAGCUCACGAUUACUGAUAUCAUAAUUUUGCUCCGCUGGGGAACGUUUUCGGGAGAAAUAAGCACAUUGAUGUAACCUCGGAGGAGUUGUGAAAGCACCGCACCUACUCCAACUGUAGAAGCAUCCACCUCCACGAACAAUGGUUUCUGUGGAUCUGGAUGGACGACUGUAGAAGCGGAGCUGAAAGCCUUCUUCAGCUGAGUGAAGGAGUGGAUGGCUUCCAGGGUCCAGGACAGGGACUUGGGCUUGUUGCGGAGCAUGGAAGUCAAUGGAACAGUGAGAUGGCUGAAAUGGAUUUGAUGACAUACCUGAGGAACUGGAUGGUGGUACAGUGGAACUCGCACUUCUCUAGCUUGAGAUAAAGAUGGUGAUUUCUCAGCUUCUGGAGGACCUGCUCAACGUGAUGGUGAUGUUCUGCCAAGUUCUGUGGAAAGGUUAUUGGUCAUGAUACAACAGUCAUAUAUGGAGAAAAUGCCACUUUGUUGUGUCAGCUGACUGAAACGGAUGAUGAUCUAACUCGUAUUAUAUGGAAGAAAAAGACACGAGAAAAACUUGAAGAGAGCGUCUUCUUUGUCAUUCGCCAAGGGGGCAAAACUGAACAUAAGAAUGGAUUGGAGGACAGAGUACAAUUUAUUGGGAACUUUGCAGAGAAAAAUGGAUCAAUUCAGCUGCUCAGAAUGAGGCUUCUGGAUGAAGGGAUCUACACAUGUACCUUCAACCUAUACCCUAGUGGGCCAUUAGAGACUGACAUCAAUGUCACCGUUUUUGGUAAGAUGGCUUGUUCAUAUUA